UUCCCUCAUCUAAAUUCUAUCCCAGGGGCUUUUUGCCUGUAGAGUGCUCUGGCAUUACCUGAGGGUAAUGUGUGGGAAAAGUGCAAUUCCCUUCCAGGAAGACUAUUUCUAUUUGGGCCUACAAGGUGAGUUGACAGU
This is a small nucleolar RNA of Sorex araneus (European shrew), 138 nucleotides long. Lineage: Eukaryota; Metazoa; Chordata; Mammalia; Eulipotyphla; Soricidae. The record is from Ensembl.